This 74-nucleotide transfer RNA is filed under the name Streptococcaceae bacterium. RNAcentral describes it as "tRNA-Arg". It matches the Rfam family "tRNA". From Rfam's summary of the family: Transfer RNA (tRNA) molecules are approximately 80 nucleotides in length. Their secondary structure includes four short double-helical elements and three loops (D, anti-codon, and T loops). Further hydrogen bonds mediate the characteristic L-shaped molecular structure. tRNAs have two regions of fundamental functional importance: the anti-codon, which is responsible for specific mRNA codon recognition, and the 3' end, to which the tRNAs corresponding amino acid is attached (by aminoacyl-tRNA synthetases). tRNAs cope with the degeneracy of the genetic code in two manners: having more than one tRNA (with a specific anti-codon) for a particular amino acid; and 'wobble' base-pairing, i.e. permitting non-standard base-pairing at the 3rd anti-codon position. Lineage: Bacteria; Bacillati; Bacillota; Bacilli; Lactobacillales; Streptococcaceae. The record is from RNAcentral.
GUUCGUGUAGCUCAGCUGGAUAGAGCAACCGCCUCCUAAGCGGUAGAUCGCCGGUUCAAAUCCGGCCAUGGACA